RNAcentral lists this ribosomal RNA (28 nucleotides) under Nothophaeocryptopus gaeumannii. RNAcentral's name for it is "partial 18S ribosomal RNA". Lineage: Eukaryota; Fungi; Ascomycota; Dothideomycetes; Mycosphaerellales; Mycosphaerellaceae. The record is from RNAcentral.
CGUAACAAGGUCUCCGUAGGUGAACCUG